GACGAACGCUGGCGGCGUGCUUAACACAUGCAAGUCGAACGGAAAGGCCCUGCUUUUGUGGGGUGCUCGAGUGGCGAACGGGUGAGUAACACGUGAGUAACCUGCCCUUGAUUUUGGGAUAACUUCAGGAAACUGGGGCUAAUACCGGAUAGGAGCUCCUGCUGCAUGGUGGGGGUUGGAAAGUUUCGGCGGUUGGGGAUGGACUCGCGGCUUAUCAGCUUGUUGGUGGGGUAGUGGCUUACCAAGGCUUUGACGGGUAGCCGGCCUGAGAGGGUGACCGGCCCCAUUGGGAUUGAGCUACGGCCCAGACUCCUACGGGAGGCAGCAGUGGGGAAUAUUGCACAAUGGGCGGAAGCCUGAUGCAGCAACGCCGCGUGCGGGAUGACGGCCUUCGGGUUGUAAACCGCUUUCGCCUGUGACGAAGCGUGAGUGACUGUAAUGGGUAAAGAAGCACCGGCUAACUACGUG
This 468-nucleotide ribosomal RNA is filed under the name uncultured bacterium. RNAcentral describes it as "partial 16S ribosomal RNA". It matches the Rfam family "Bacterial small subunit ribosomal RNA", at positions 28 to 507 of the family's 1533-position model. The record is from RNAcentral.